CGGGAGGGGCGGUUUCCCUGCGUGCGCAGGAACCGCCGGCUGUCAGAGGACGCCAGGGCGUUACCUGACCCAGGGUGCCUCAGGGCAGGAGAGGUUUCUGCCGCCCCCUUGGGACCCAGCGCCCCUCCGAGAGCCAGAGCUGCGUUUCCAAUAAGUUCUGCAGCCGGCCCGGGGGAACCUGGGCCCUUUGCAGCAUCUUGGUGCCUCCUGAGGAGCGACGGAGAAGCUGCCUUGUUCGCUGAGUGCUGAGGAGGGGACUCUGGGCGGCUUCCCCGGGACAUACUGGUAAAGACUCAAGCAUUUGAAGAUCAAUGAAGCAAAGAAAUGUACUCAAGAAACCAUGUGGCCAAAGAAGCUUCCCUCUUAUGGAGCCCAUAGACUUAAGCUAAAAUCCUUUUCCAGGAGACAAUAUCCUGACAGUGGAGCAAUUCAGAUCAUUGUUUUUGUUGUUCAGCAUGGUUUGCAUUCUUCUCAACUAGUGUCUUUGAGGAACACAAUAGAAGAGAUGUAA
RNAcentral lists this long non-coding RNA (511 nucleotides) under Zalophus californianus (California sea lion). RNAcentral describes it as "lncRNA (ENSZCAG00015010557.1)". Lineage: Eukaryota; Metazoa; Chordata; Mammalia; Carnivora; Otariidae. The record is from RNAcentral.